AUGCCACAACCAGAUCCAAAUAGUCUAGAGAAAUGGAACUAUGACCCCGAGAGAGCUCAUCGGGAGUUGGUGAGGAUGAUUGUUGUUCAUCAAUUGCCAUUCUCUUUCAUGGAAUACGAGGGAUUUAGAAGAUUUGUGUAUAGUCUGAAUCCCGCAUUUGAGGUGGUUUCUAGGACGACAAUAAGAGUUGAUUGCCUCACGCUAUUUCAUGAACAAAGGGAAAAGUUUCGAGAGGCUAUACAGACCAUAACCUCUCGUGUCUCUUUAACCGCCGACAUGUGGACUUCAAGUCAAGCCGUGAGCUAUAUGUGUAUAAUAUGCCAUUUUGUUAGUACGACGAAGUGGAAAUUACAG
This 354-nucleotide ribosomal RNA is filed under the name Triticum aestivum (bread wheat). RNAcentral describes it as "partial small subunit ribosomal RNA". Lineage: Eukaryota; Viridiplantae; Streptophyta; Magnoliopsida; Poales; Poaceae. The record is from RNAcentral.